GAGUGGCGCAGCGGAAGCGCGCCGGGCUCAUAACCCGGAGGGCAAUGGAUCGUAAGUUGUAUGCCAGAAACG
RNAcentral lists this transfer RNA (72 nucleotides) under Friedmanniomyces endolithicus. RNAcentral's name for it is "tRNA-iMet". Lineage: Eukaryota; Fungi; Ascomycota; Dothideomycetes; Mycosphaerellales; Teratosphaeriaceae. The record is from RNAcentral.